Molecule: ribosomal RNA, 496 nt
Filed under: uncultured Glomeromycotina
Lineage: Eukaryota; Fungi; Glomeromycota
Description: partial small subunit ribosomal RNA
Rfam family: Eukaryotic small subunit ribosomal RNA
Source: RNAcentral
CCAAUAGCGUAUAUUAAAGUUGUUGCAGUUAAAAAGCUCGUAGUUGAAUUUCGGGGUUCUACCGUUGGUCGGGCAAUUGUCUGUACUGGCGUGUGGAAUUUCUACCUUCUGGGGAACCAUCAUGUUAUUAAUUUAGCGUGGUGGGAAACCAGGACCUUUACCUUGAAAAAAUUAGAGUGUUCAAAGCAGGCUUACGUCUGAAUACAUUAGCAUGGAAUAAUAAAAUAGGACGGUGGUCCUGUUUUGUUGGUUUCUGAAUCACCGUAAUGAUUAAUAGGGAUAGUUGGGGGCAUUAGUAUGCAAUUGUCAGAGGUGAAAUUCUUGGAUUUAUUGAAGACUAACUUCUGCGAAAGCAUUUGCCAAGGAUGUUUUCAUUAAUCAAGAACGAAAGUUAGGGGAUCGAAGACGAUCAGAUACCGUCGUAGUCUUAACCAUAAACUAUGCCGACUAGGGAUCGGACGAUGUUAAUUUUUCUUGACUCGUUCGGCGCCUUACG